GCUAAGCGUUACUAUGAUCAAGCCAAAGUUGCUAACUUGGUGGGGAACAAGGAGUGUGAGGCGCUUGGGAUGACAUCCAUCCCUUCUCCCUUCGGCCCAAUUAUCUAGAUGUUUGGCAUUUUACUUAGUUCUAUGUUAUUUCACUUGGAAAAUAUAUGCUACAUGUUUAGGACUGGACUUCCAGCAUGUUCUCUAUUGUGGUUUAAUCUAUAACUGUUUUAGAUGUGAAAAACAGUUUGGAGACCUGAUGAGCUUUUCUGUAUUGUUUCAAGAUGUUUAUGAGGUAUACAAGUGGAAUUUUUCUUUUAUAUCUUUUGAUAUUUAGUAUAUUCAGAAAAAUUAAUUAAUAAAAAAUAUUUUUAUUUAAAAAAAAUUAAGUUAUAUUAAAAGUUAAUUUUUUUAUAUUUUGAGAAUACAUUUAUGUAUAAAUUUAUUAAUAUAAUUUAUUUUUUAAAUUGAAAUUAAAUUAUAAAAAAUAAAUUAUUUUAUUAAAAAUAUUUUUUGAAAGAUAUUGUCUAAAAAAGAUUCUCUAUGAAGCAUAUUUUUCAAAGACAAAUUCUUUUAUACAAAUAAAUGAAAUUUUAGUAAAAGAAUAUUAUUUUUCAUUUUAGAUUUUUUUUUAUUUUUUUAAUUAUCUCAAUAUUAUUAUUCAUUUCUAUUUUUUUAUACUAUAAUAAUAUAUAUAAAUUAAUUAUUAUAAUCUAUUUAAUUCAAUUUUAUUUUAAAAAUAAUCUCUCUAAUUAUUAUUUUUUAAAUGAAUAUUUAUUUAAUAAAAUUUAAUGCAUUUAUAAUAGAUAUAAUUAAAAAAUUAAUUAAAAAAAUUGUUUUUUUAAUCCGCAUGAAAAAAGUAAAAUGCACAUAAAAAAAUAUAUCAGCGACAAAGUUUGCCAUGUAUUUAGUUUCCGUUGGAAAUUUAGGGACGGAAAAAGAGACGGAUUUGCGACGAACAAUGCAUUUCCGAAAUUUCCGACAGAUUUGUAAUGUAUUACGAAGGAUUAAGUGAGUAAUAACGACGGAAAAAAUACCGUCGCUAAUGCAUCGGAAACUUUAAAAUUCCCUUGAAAAAGCCCUAAACAUCUCUUUCUCACUUUUUCAUUUUCAGCCGCUAGCCCUUUUUUCCCUUCCCCCACGCAAGUCGCUGACUGAAGCAUCUCCCCCGCCCGCCGGUGACGUCGAUUCCGCUCUGACCGAAGACAACUACGAUAUUAUCGAUGAUACAGAUCUUCAGCAGUAACUUUCAGACGUGCUUUAGCAGCGAAGGUGUCACCAUUGCAGCAACCCUUUGUGCGUCACCACCUUGAGCCACAGCACGCUGCCGCCAUUUCUCCUCUUACUGUUGCCACCGUGGUGUACCCUGAGCCACGAUUUGAGCAUCAGCUCAGACAGAGAGAUACCCCUUUGCUCAAAUGAACACAGAUGUUGGAGUGUAUUAUACCCCAGCGUGUAGAUUCAGAUGAGGUGUUUGAUGGUGCUGAGGCAGUUUGUAGAAUGGAGGACUGGUUGAUUGAGAAUCAUGGCUUCCAGCCGCAGUAUGCAGUUUCUGAGCUGAGCAAGAAGAAUUCCUAGAGAAUGUUUGAUGCUAGACUGUAUGAGCAGUGCAAGAGGAGAUAUGGAGCUGUUAGAACCUUCAUGAGUACCUAGCGAGUCCAAGAAGGGAAGUAAGACUAAGAAGGAGGUUCAAGAAGCUGAGCAAGCCCACCUUGAAACUGCUUAUGUAGAGGGUGAUUAACCAAUGGAUUCAGCUUGAGGUGAAUUUGGUAUGAUUUAGUGGGAUUUCGUUUGCUGCUUGUUUUUAUUUUCAGACUAUCCUUGUGAGUUUUUAAUUAGUAUUUCUAGCUGAAUGCUUUAGUUGCUGCUUUAUUUUCUUAUCUUGGAUUUUAACGAAUUAGAUAAGACUUCGGAUGAUUUUAGUGUUUUAAACAGUUUAUGGACAAGAAGGAUUUGGGGCAAAGGCUCUUCUUAGCCUGGACUGGAUGUUAUUUACUUGCACAAUCUUUACUAAGCCAUUAUGCUCGAGGUGGUUUACUGGUGAUUUUCAAGUAUUUUCUUCACUUUAGUUGGUUCUUAGAGUUUACAUGUGGAGGACAGCCUUGUUGCUGUCUUAUGGAAGUAUUGUGUGCCUGCUCUAUAAUCAACAGAUUCCCACAUGUUGCUGGUGAAUUAUUUGGUCUGCUUAUUGCAAUGCUCUUUAUGCAAUAGGCCAUAAGGGUGAGCACUCACAUCAACUCAAUUUAACUAGGCAUUAACAUAGAUCCAUUUCAAUUAUGAGAGUUCAAAUUUGUUUGAAUAGUUGUAAAAAUGAAAUUCCAUGGUAGUUUGUUUUCUUCAGUAUUCUGAAGGCAAUAUUAGAUUCAAUAUAUCAUGAUUUCUUUUUCUAAAGCACCUUGAUAAAAGCAGAAUAUCAAUUGAAAUGGCCUUUUUGCCAUAUAAUCCUAUAGGGAUUUGUGAUGGAGUUUGGCAGGGAAAAAUCCUAAUCAGACUGCACUCCAACCUUCUUGGUGACUUGGCAGUGGAAUGUUUGCAUUGGUUCUAUCCUUUGGCCUUAUUGGACUGCACUUAGGAGCCGUAAAGCUAGGUCCUGGUGUUAUGGGACAUUGCAUUGGAAUUCCUAUAUGGAUUAUUUAAAUAAAGAAAAAUACAUCUUAUGGGUUGAGUUCUAUAACGGUAUCAUCCUUGAUUAUGCAAUUUUGAUUUUGUGGUUCACUUGCAUUUUAUUUUAUAGAGUCAAGUAAUCACCUUUAUUUGGUUUUCAAGUCUAUAGAAAAACUUCACAAUCAGCUAUAUAGUUUAUUGGCUCUUUCAUAAUGCUUCUUUUUAUUUUUCAUGUUUUUUCAAGGUUGGCUACGAGGAUUUAUUGCAGAUUAUGGAGUUCCAGUUAUGGUGCUUGCAUGGAUUGCGAGAUCCUAUAUAACAGUUAAAGCAUGUUCCAAGAGGUAUAGUCCGGAUGUGUCUUCUCACCCCGUUUCAAUGAUUUUCACCCUUUGAUCCCAAAUGAAUGGCUGAUCAUCUAAUGAGAAAUUCAUGGAGUUUUAGUUAUAAGAAUACUUGUAUUUUAAAAAUUAAAUCAUUAAGUGUUUUGAUUUUGCUUUUUUUUUUUAAAAAAAAAAGAAGUUAAAUUGCCAUUUAAUUAUUAAAUAUUGUAAUUAUUUAAUUACUUUUACUUAUUUCUCCCUUAAGAGAUGAAUGGUUGAUGCACAGUAGAAGAAUUGAUUCAAACGAGGUAAAUGAAUGAACAUCUAAAUACUGUGUCUUGUCUGCUUGUGAUUCAUUCAAAAAGUUGUACUUGUGAUUAAUUACUAAUUCUAAAACCAAGUAAUUUUGAAGUUGUUAGGCUAUGUGGUCUAAGAAUAAAAUAUGAGUACAAUCUAGUUAUCUAUGCUUGGCUCAUUUAUUGAACAGACCAUGAUUAACCUAGAUUCAUGUAUGGUAAUACUCAAAUCUGAUCUUGUAUUGCCUGUGUUUUAACUUUUCUAUAAUUCAUCAAGAAGAUAAGAACUCUAAAUACAUGGGUCAUGAAAAAUGAUGGUUAAGUAUAACAUCUAAAAAUCAUAUUUCUUGUAAAUCAUAUUUAGUUGUUAAUAUUUAAUCGUUAAAAAUCAUAUUUGUUGGAGUGAUAGAAAUUGUUAAAUCGAUGUUGAUUGAGUGUAAUAUUUAUUAAAUAUAUGGUAUUGUUAAUAUGAAAUGAAUAGUUAUUUGUAUUCUAAUAUAUAAUAUUUAUGUUAUUAUUAAUUGUAUAUAGUUAAUGAAAUAUCUAUUAUUUUUUUAUAUAGGAAGUUUAUUGUUGAAGAUAAAUCUGAAAGUUCAUUCCCUUUUGAUGUGCAGAAGUGGAUUGAAAUUUCUGUUAAGCAAUAAAGAGAGGAGGUGUAUGAUUUUGUCACUAAUUUUUUCGAUGGAAGUAAUAACAACAAAUUUUAGACUACAGCGAUAGCGAUGAAAUUUUCCGCCGCUGAUAAGUUAUUUUUAAUGAAAAUUAUAAGAUGGGAGGAAUAUAAUAGAAUAAGAAUUAAAUGAUUUGAUGAUUGUAUUUUGAACUUUUUUAUAUUUAUUUUAAAGACUUAAGUGAUAUCUCAACUAUUUAAAUUAAUUUAGAAAAAAAUAAAAUAAAAUAAAAUUAUUUAAUAAAUUAAAUUAAAAGUCAAUUUAAUACUUGAUCAUAUUGAUUUAAAUUGAAUUCUACUCAACCUUAAAAGUAAAAAGAAAAAAAAAUAUGGAACAUUCGUGGUUGUUAUCAAUACUUUUUGUUAUUAUUGUAAUUAGAAAAAAAAAAGAACUUUUCUCUGAAGUUUGCAAAUCUAGGGGCUCAUCUUUCUUCCUUGUCACUUAUUGCAGACUUUCCCGUUCAAUCCAAUCAUUGGUUAUAUAUAUAUUUGAUAUUGACUUCUUGGUACUCUAUUGUUGAUUGAUUUUCAUUAUGAGAAUUCUUAGAUUUAUGUUAUUUUUGGAUUGUGGUUGGUUGUAUGCAGGUUCUCUAUUUACUAUAGAAGUUUCUUCAAUCUGCAACAAUGUACUUUUUUUUCAUUUUUCAAUCCCCUGAAAGAAAUAAAAACAAUUAUUAGUGACGACAAUAAAUAUUAAAUGAGACUUUAUAAAUCAAAUUUUAAUAAUGUUUUAAUGUAUUUUUUAAAAUUAAAUAAUCAAUUGAUAAAUUUUUUCAUAAUAUAUAGAAAUUAAAUAGUAAAUUAGCCGUUUAAGGACAUUCUUAAAAUUUGACGAGCAGUGGUGCCUCUUGUGAGCUCCACCAUCCUGUUAUAUCUGCGUUGCUUCUCUUGACCACUGUGUGCCAGGCUCAACUCACCUCUGCAUUCCAACGACAAUUCUCAUUCAAAUGCCUCAGUACUAUCCAAACUUCCAUCAGAAGUUCAAUUGCAGCAAAACAGAGAAUGGCAACAUCUCUUAUUCCCAUGCACUUUCAUGAUUUUUUUCUGUUUAUAUACUAUAUUUAUAUUUGCUCUAGUUCAUAUCUCUUACCAUAUAUAAUCAAACAAAUUAUUAAAUACUCCUGAUGAUCCGAUGUAUCAUCUCAUACUUGUUAGGACUUAAACCGACAUUUUGCCUUUGUUUUUUUUAUUUUUUGGAGUAAAACCUGUUUUUUUUAAGUAUAUAUAAUAUUAUAGAGAAGGUAAUGAAACAAAAUUGUAGCGUGUCAAGGAAUCAUUGGCCCAAUGACGGAAAUUGACGUGGCAGUGGAAACAUAUACAAAUUAAAUAUGAAAAUCCCGUAAUUACCCCUCCUUCGAACAGACAUCAAAAUCACAGUGCAGGCGCUUAUCUGUGAUCCUUUCUCCUUCAACCGCGGCAGCAAGAUGCGUCGUUUAACGAGUUACAGACUCGCUCUCUCCCUCCUCAUCCUCUCUCUCCUCCCUCUCUCUCUCCUCGCUCGGCCUUUCGUUCUCGUUCUCUCCCAAGAUGAUAUCAGAGAUGGUUCCACCCCCGGCGACUCCGACGCCGAUUCAACUUCCGAAUCUCCGCCGGAAUGGGACGAAUUCGGUGACUCUGAUUCAAAGCCGGAGCACGAGCUCGACCCUGGAUCCUGGCGCCCAAUCUUUGAGCCUGAUUCCUCUGCUCCUGAUACCACGGAGGACUCGAUGUUGGCGGAGUAUUACUCCGUUGUUCAGAAGAUGAUGUGGGCGGUGAGCGGCGGGGAGGUGAGGAUGAUGGAGGAGGCUGCGGCGGAGAUUGAGGCGGCAGCUGUGGUUGGGAAUCCACAUGCGCAAUCAGUGUUGGGAUUUCUGUCCGGGCUAGGGCAGAUGAAGGAGAGGAAUAAAGCUAAGGCGUUUCUUUAUCAUCAUUUUGCGGCUGAAGGAGGUAACAUGCAGUCGAAGAUGGCUCUGGCAUACACUUAUUCGCGCCAAGAUGUGAGUUCACAUUUUUCCGAAUGUUUUUAUUGAAUUCCUUGGACAAUUAUAUCAGAAUUUUGAUUAGUUCUUUCAGUUGCCUCUCUGAUAUGUAAAUACAAUAGAGGGAGUAAUUCAAUUAGGUCUGAUAGUGCCAAAACUUAAUUGAGCUUAGUUUUUCAUGUUGUCAAUCUUUUUUUCUGUUCCUAUAGUUUGAUGAUUGAUUUGCUUUUUUUUUUUUUUUUUUAUUAUCAGAUGUAUGAUAAAGCAGUUAAAUUAUAUGCGGAGUUAGCUGAAGUAGCUGUGAACAGCUUUUUGAUCUCAAAGGAUUCACCUGUGAUUGAACCGGUUAGAAUUCACAAUGGAGCUGAGGAGAACAAGGAGGCUCUGAGGAAGUCGCGAGGGGAGGAAGAUGAAGACUUCCAGAUUUUGGAAUAUCAGGCCCAAAAGGGCAAUGCUGGAGCUAUGUACAAAAUUGGACUGUUUUACUACUUUGGAUUAAGAGGACUGAGGCGCGAUCAUGCAAAGGCAUUAUCAUGGUUCUCUAAGGCUGUAAAGAAGGGGGAACCCAGGUCAAUGGAACUCCUUGGUGAGAUAUAUGCAAGAGGAGCCGGAGUUGAAAGGAACUACACUAAAGCGCUUGAGUGGCUUACACUUGCAUCAAAGCAGCAACUUUACUCAGCUUAUAAUGGCAUGGGGUAUUUGUAUGUGAAAGGUUAUGGAGUGGAAAAGAAGAACUAUACCAAAGUAAGCUCAUUUUUAUUUUGAGCAGAUAUAUAACUCAAGCUUUACUUGUUUUUGGUUGUAGAAUCAAACACAAUAGCACUUUAAGCAGUUAAUUGACGUUUCAGUGGUCUUCCUGAAAAUUCGUGUAUUAUUCUUAAUGACAGUGGAGAAAUUGGAGGAUCCCCUUGGAUAUAUUUUGCAAGGGAGAAAAGAAAUUCAUCAACUAUCUUUAACGGUUCUUGUCAAAUUUUAUCAUUUGCCUCACAUCUCCUGUCUUUCAACUUUCAGCUGAUUAUGUUGCAAUUAUAUCAUUCCUUCAUGAUGCUUGAUAAUACUUCUGGCAUAGAUGCAUUGUAUGGAUGCAUUCUUAUAUAAAUGAGAUAAAGCCUGAGUGAGUUGUCUAAAGUAUUUUAUCAUUGCCUUUAUGCUAUCUCAUUGUGAGCUUAUUAAAGCUAGGUAAUAUAUGGAUAUCAUUUGGGUUAUAAUGUUAUAUACUGGCCUUUUCUUUUUUAAUCCCUAAUUUCUGACUAACUUGUCACAAAUCAAUUCCUUCCAUUGCAGGCAAAAGAAUACUUUGAGAAAGCUGCUGACAAUGAAGAGGCUGGUGGACAUUACAAUCUUGGAGUAAUGUAUCUUAAAGGAAUUGGGGUAAAGAGAGAUGUGAAGCUGGCGUGUAAAUAUUUUAUAGUGGCUGCUAAUGCAGGUCAACCUAAGGCAUUUUACCAGCUUGCAAAGAUGUUCCAUACGGGUGUAGGACUUAAGAAGGAUCUAGUUAUGGUAAAUCCAGUUGUUUUUUUUUUCAUAAUUUAUAUCCUUGUGACCAAUAAAUGCACUUAUGAAAGUUUGACCUCAUUAAACUGGUAGGAGAUUGUUGCCUCUGUGAACAGUACUGAAGGUACUGAGCUGCAGAGCAAUGGGUAGUAGCUGCAUGAGGAAAUAAGUAGAAGGGAGAGGGGAGGGAGAAGCCCCAAGAAUUCCAAAUCAAUUAUAUAUAUAUAUGUGCAAAAAUCUUGUCACUGCUAUUCAAAUAAGAGGACUGCGUACUUUUAAGCUGAUAUUUGAUGGAUAAUUAGAAUAUUGGAUAUGAUAGUCUUGGGAUGGAUUCUGUCUUGGUGUGUGAAUAUUGGACAUGUAUAUUGAAUUUCUGAAAAUUGUAUUUAGUUUUCUGGUCAGUUUUUGGAUACAUUUGAGUUUGAUUCUUGCUGGUCAGAUCCUAAAUAUCUGGUAGUUCUGCAUCAUAUAUAUUGGCUGUAUUAUCUAGGUAAGUAGCUGUGUAUGAUUUUCAGGCACCUUGUAAUAUGGUGAUACUAUUAACUGUCCUUCAACUGAUCCUCUGCUACACGUAGGAUAAGUUCUCUUUGACUUUGAUUUCUCCACAAAUAUGAGUUCCAACUGCCAAAUACAACUGGCCAAGCAUACCAUUGAUUUUCAAUUCUUAAGCUCUUUGGCAUGUCUAAGCAUUCAUUUUGGAACCUAAUGAUGUAAAAGAAAACAUGCAUGUGUGCCCAUCCUGAGGUGACCUGAAGUAAAAAAUUGGACUAGCUAAAUUAAUUAUGUUUUUAUUUUUUAAGAAUGUAUGCUACGGAAAAUGUUGUAGGUGGUAUUAGUAUGUAUGAGUCAUCCAUGUACAUCUAAUCUCUUCUUCAUUCCAGGCUACUGCAUUAUAUAAACUGGUUGCAGAACGGGGUCCAUGGAGUACCUUGUCCAGAUGGGCAUUGGAAUCUUACCUAAAGGGUGAUGUAGGCAAGGCAUUGCUACUGUAUUCAAGGAUGGCUGAACUGGGCUACGAGAUUGCCCAGAGUAAUGCUGCAUGGAUUCUUGAUAAAUUUGGGGAGCGCAGCAUGUGCAUGGGAGAGUCUGGAUUUUGCACAGAUGCAGAAAGGCAUCAGCGGGCACAUUCUUUUUGGUGGCAAGCUUCUGAGCAGGGUAAUGAACAUGCUGCUUUGCUGAUUGGUGAUGCAUAUUAUUAUGGUCGGGUACGUUUCUCUAGUUCCUGACUUUUUGCUAUUUUAGGAUAUUAUCAAAUUUGAAUGAUUGAAUCAUCCACUUCUUCUAAUUUUUAGGUUCUCUUUUUUGUUUUCUUUUUCCUCUCAGGGUACAGAGAGGGACUAUGAACGAGCUGCUGAGGCUUACAUGCAUGCCAAAUCUCAAUCUAAUGCACAAGCCAUGUUCAACCUUGGAUACAUGCAUGAGCAUGGUCAAGGACUUCCAUUUGAUCUCCAUCUUGCUAAGCGUUAUUAUGAUCAAGCCCUAGAGAUCGAUCCAGCAGCAAAGUUGCCUGUUACACUGGCUCUGUCUAGCUUGUGGAUACGGAGGAACUAUGCAGACAGUUUCUUGGUGAGUUUCUUUCACUAGCUUGCAUCCUUGCCUUUUCUAAGUAUCAGUAUGAAAAUCAGGCAUUGGACUUCUAUUAGAUGCAUCAAAAUGCCUGUGCAUAUGCGAGUUAAAUUUAUUUUUUUUUCUUCUUUCACCAUUCAUUAUUAAUAUCUUACCUGCCCCCUUACAUGUUUUGACUCUCGCAAGACUGUGGAACAUGUUAUUAAUCCAAGCUUCCCAACAGCUUAUUUUCAGCUCGGGUGAAAAUAAGAAUUGAUAUUAUGCUGUUCUUCAAUUUUAUUUAAUGGGUUAAGAUCUCAUGAUUACAUAACAAAUUAGUGCCUUUUGGGGAUAUUGUAGGAAUUUUGAUUUCUUUUUUCUCCCUGUGAUUUCUCAUUGCAGAAAGCUAAUAGCACCAAGCUUAGAGCUCCNNNNNNNNNNNNNNNNNNNNNNNNNNNNNNNNNNNNNNNNNNNNNNNNNNNNNNNNNNNNNNNNNNNNNNNNNNNNNNNNNNNNNNNNNNNNNNNNNNNNNNNNNNNNNNNNNNNNNNNNNNNNNNNNNNNNNNNNNNNNNNNNNNNNNNNNNNNNNNNNNNNNNNNNNNNNNNNNNNNNNNNNNNNNNNNNNNNNNNNNNNNNNNNNNNNNNNNNNNNNNNNNNNNNNNNNNNNNNNNNNNNNNNNNNNNNNNNNNNNNNNNNNNNNNNNNNNNNNNNNNNNNNNNNNNNNNNNNNNNNNNNNNNNNNNNNNNNNNNNNNNNNNNNNNNNNNNNNNNNNNNNNNNNNNNNNNNNNNNNNNNNNNNNNNNNNNNNNNNNNNNNNNNNNNNNNNNNNNNNNNNNNNNNNNNNNNNNNNNNNNNNNNNNNNNNNNNNNNNNNNNNNNNNNNNNNNNNNNNNNNNNNNNNNNNNNNNNNNNNNNNNNNNNNNNNNNNNNNNNNNNNNUUCUUAACUGAUCCAGUAUGGUAUUGUUUUAUCUUUAGGUCGACUUAAUUGAUUCAUUGCCUGGAGUCUAUCCAAAAGUUGAAGAAUGGGUGGAGAACGUAUUAAUGGAGGAAGGAAAUGCGACAAUACUGACCCUUUUCGCCUGUCUCCUUACUGUCCUUUAUCUUCGUGAGAGACAGCGCAGGCAUGUUGCUGGUGUUGGUGGUGAUGUUGGUGUACCACCGCAACAGCAAUUUGAACAUGGUGCUGCUGUACCCCGUUAAUUGGCGAUGGUGAUGGUCUGCAGGAACAUCUAGAAUUUUUGCUGUUCUAUAUUUGUGAAAAAGUAAAAUUUACAACUGCAAUACGAUGUACAGGCUUUUGAGUCUCAGGGAGAAGCUGCUUUCUUUUCAGACACAUGUUACCAUAGAACUCUACUAAAGUGAGGCAGAAAUAAGCAGCAGUUUUGUACCUUUGCAUUGGCAGAAAAAUGUAUUCAACAUAGUUCUGUGGAAUUGACUUUUUUUGGGGGGGAAGCAUGACCUUUUGUUGUACUAAUUUGACCAUUAAUUCAUAUGAAGAUACUUGAUUUGAGGCAAGAACCCUGUUGCUUUGCUGAUAAUUCAGUUGAUUUUACUUUGCUUUAGUUUUAGGUUAAUUUAUCACCCUCCAAAAAUUGUAACUUUGACUAAUCACUUGUCCACUGUUUCUGGACACCAAAUAUUAUGCUCACUGUUGUCUUAAUGAUGCAGUCUCAUCUCAUUCCUAUGAUUGCUUAUGGUUCUAUGUUCUUGGUCUUCACAUUUAGCGUAAGGCUAGUUUUUCUGAUCUCCUUUGCUGCUGCCAGCCUCCCCUUUUUGCCUUUUUCUGCAUAGUUAUCAUUACUACUGCUGAUCUGGUCCGGGGCCCCUCAAGGCCUUUCAUUUUUGUUUUUUUGAGUGAAUUUACAUUGAGCAAUUGAUAUGGGAUGAAUGAGCUUUUCCAUUGUGCUUGCAUGCGUGCUGCUUUUUUUUUUCUUGCUAUGAUAAACCCUAACUAUUCAGUUGUUCAGACCAAGUUCAUUUCUACGAAAGGAAAUAAAUUUUUGUUUUGUACUGAAUCAAACGAGGUAGUUUUAAAUUGGAUUUAAAAUCAAUUUUAGAUCUAAUUGAUUUAUUUACAUUCCUAACUGCACAAUAUAUUAGAUUAUUACACAAGUGCCUACAGUUUAUUUACAUUAGAUAAUUACAUCAAAUCUAAAUCUAACUUCAUUAAUCUACAAGCUUGGUACCAAAAAUUCUAUAAUGCCUAGUUCCCCAAGUGUUAUUUUUAUCAAGGUAAUAGGAUUUUAUGCAACACUGCACCCAUGGUGGUUUUCUUGCAGCAUCCUCAAUUUCCUUGCCAUCAUCAUUCACAGCCACACCAAGCAACUUGUUUCGCUUUCUUGUCAAUGCAUCAAUGGAGGAACGCCCGCCAAAAAACUUAUCCUAUAAUGAACAAAUAUUACAGAAUCAGAAAUAAGUCACAGAUACAUAUAUAAAAGUUCAUGCAGAGAGUAAUUGUUAUCCUACACUGACUUCGACCUGGAUCUCACCUAAAGGAGCAAUCCUAAAUGUGGGAAGUUUUCUUGAAGCCAUUUCAAAUUGACUUUGAUCAGAAUUUGAUAGCAAUCUCUAAGUAGACAGACACACGUCCAUAUUUAAUUCUUUGCUUUAUAAUCCGACUCUUCGUUUCAUCAUACUGUACCCGUGUCGACAUGACAUGAAAGGGUCCAACAUGGAAUAUGCGUUGACAUACCUUCAUACUAUCACAUACUCAAGUGACAGAUCUCUAAAGAUGAGAAACAUAGUUAAUAGAGAACUACGUUCUCUCAAGAUAAAGAGCAUGGUUAAUAGAGCACCUUUUCCUCAAAUAGAAAUAGUUAUUUGGUUGUAGUUGAUUACAUAUCUAGACUAUAGUUAUUAUCACAAUUUUAUAUUUUCAUUCUAUUCUAUUCUAUUCUAUUUACAUAACAAAUUUGAACACCUAUGCCUAUAUUUAGACCCAUAUCCCCAUAUUUUUCAUUUAGAAAGUUUACAAGUUAGACACAGGGAUACAUACUCAUUCCCAACACUUAGUACCCGAGUCCGAGAAACAUAGAUUCUUAGUAGAUAAAAAUUUAGUAAAAACAUUCUCUCACCCCAUCUUCAUCAAAUAAAAAGGCAUGGAUUCUGGCAGUUGGAUCUUCUAUGGUCAAUCUAAUCAUGUAUGUUCCAAGAUGAGAGCAGAAGUCCUCGACACGCCAUGGCAAUGCAGCCACUACCCGUACUAUGCACUUGAAUUUAGCUGUCACCUGCAUGGUUUGACAGUUGAUGAACCGUAAGAUAUUGAGCUGCAUGCAGCUACUAUAUAUUAUCAUCAUGUGCCUUCUCUACAUGCACGUGGGUGUGUAUGUGUUCUGUGUCAGUUUCAAAUUAUUCAAAAAUAACAUUUACGACCGAAAAAGCAUAUUUUGUUGACCUAACACAAUGGACCAAAACACUUGGCAUGCACAAGACCUUUUCAAUAAUGACAAUCAAACAACCUGAGAAUGACCAAGUAUGAAGAUUAUUACCACUUGCUUAAACAUUCCAAGAAACUAACUAGGAGUAUCUCCAGAACAAUUAGUCAAACUUCUAGGUUGGAUAAAUUAUAUCAUAUGUCCUGAUCUUUAGUUGCAAUCAACUUGGAAUCUUAACAUUAAAUUUGCAAUAUAUACCUUUAGUUUCCUUAACAAUUAGAACCAAAAACUAUUGACCUUUAUUUUUAAGAAAAAAAAAAAGCUCGAUCUUUUUCAUUAAACAACAUAAGCUUGACAGAUUAAUUAUUCACACAAUAAACUUUCAUUUGACCUAUAAACUAUGAAAGUAUAAAACUAUUAUGUGAAAUAACUUUGAAAGAAGCCUUAGAUGAUCUAAAGAAAAAUAUUUUUAACUAUACUACCAAAACAUUUAGUUUUGUAAGAAAUGAGCUCAUUAGAGAUUUCUUUGAGGACCCUAUUGAAAGAGCUUAUUAAAGAUAUGAACAAAAAAAUCACAAAGAGACUUCCCAAUGAGGCAUUAAAAUGUAAUAGCAAAUGCAAAAUAGGUCCCAAAAAAAUAAAUUUUCAAAUUCCUCCUAUAACUAGUGAUAGAUUGUAAUUACCAAUUUUUUCAGUAACUGCUCACCCAUCAAUAAAGCAAAGGGUUGAAAGUUAGAAUUUCCAUCAUUAUUAUGAAACCAAGGUCAUAUUGAGGACAUUUAAAAGGUAAAAACAUAUAUGAAUAAUUAAAUUCCAUACUAUGGCCUGGACUUCAGGGUUCAAUAAGAAAUGUGUCCCAUAAUUCAAAACAUUGUAAGGUUCAGAAUGAACUUUAUCAACAAUGACAAUUGAAACCCUCGAUCAAGUAUUGCUUCUUAAAAAUCUCAUUUAUUCCUGCAUGAAGUUUAAAGAAAUAAUACCUCCAUGCAAGAAAAACUAAAUUUUCUGGUGCAAUCAAAUAUCAUACCUGUGAACAGGUGAGGACAUCCAUUAUCGUAACAAAAGGCACAUGGUCAUAAUCAACCUCUGAGAGAGGAAAUCAUGAAAAGUCAUCACCAUCACGAAGUCAUAACCACAGAGAUGAAAAUUUCCAGGAGUGAAUCACACAACUACAAAUAAGAAAAACCAAACAAGGAAUACAGUCAUUCUCAACAAGUCAACGAUGUGAAACCUGUAAGUUGUGAACACCAAGGAAAACACCAAUAUGGUAUGCGCCCCAAUUCUAAUGACAAGCGUUCAUUGUAAGACCUGGCUCGCAUAAAUAUCAUUACAGUCUUAAUAGAUAUACAUGUUUUGCCAAACUUCAAUUAUAAACAUGUAGUUUGAGCAUUAUUUUUUAAAUGGGAACAUGCAUGCGAGUGUGCAUGAGUUAAGUAAAUACACAGAUACAAGCUUGGAUAAUAUGCAGUCACCUCUGGCACCCUACAAUGAGACGGUUGUCAUCUGACAUGUAACGAAUCUUUGUGAAAGGUGUCAACACACCAUGCCAUAAUCCUUCAUGCACUUCACAAAGAAUGUUGAGAAAUCUCACCCAUUUGCCAGCAGUCAAUAAGUGGAGAACAUGCUUCUCGUUGCCUUUGUCGAUGAUUACCCUUAGUAUUGUUCCAACAGUUGGAAAUGUACAUAACAAAUCUCUUGGCAAAGGUUUGGGUUCAACUUGUAAGGGAAGUGGAUUGUCCGUUUCAUUUUCUAGCCUGUGAUUCAAAGCAGACGAUAUUAAUAGAUUUGGAAUGAGAAUAUUAAUAACUAGUUCAGAAAACACCAAAAUGAAAAAUAAAAAGCAGGUGUUGUGGCGAAUGUAAAAUAGUUUAAUAGUUGAGCAAAUAACAUAUAUGUAAAGUCAAUAGAACUUUUUAGAAUCCAUACCAAAGUUUUUAAGAAGUCACUGCCAUAGUGUUGUAGCAUCAAACUGUGCAGAGUGUAAUUCUCAAAACAAGAGUAUGUGGCACUUGCUACAACACAUAACCAGAAGAUUCAUCUACGUUUCAUGAAUAGAAAAUAAUGAAUUAAGCAACUUGGGAAAAGACUUCCAGUCAGUGAUACAAAAUGAAGUCCCCCCUUUUUCUUUGCCAAAGAAAAUCAAUCAUUAAGCACUGAUAUUCUUUGAGAUAAGAACAUCCACAGAAAUCGAGCUCCUGAGGUACUGACCGUUUGGUUUAGUUUCUAAUGAUUUUCAUCACAAAUAUCUAUCUGUUAAAAACCAGAAAGCACUAAGCCAAUAAAUUGGUCUAUUUCUUGGUAUAGACCAGCACAGUAUGCAGUUCAAUCAAACACUACAUUCCAAACCAAAAGUAUGAUUAAUACUUUAGCAACCCCUGAAACAGUUGAUGAUAAUUAAAUAAAUACUUGAAAAUCUACAGACUUCCAGUGCUUAGCAGAUUGAGUAACACCUUCAUUACCGAUUUGUAUUGUCAUUGGCCCUCAUCUAACAUGCAACAACAGAACCUCAAAAAGGCCUCAAAGAAAGACUAUUGCCACUCUUCCUGUGUCAGUAUAGAAGAUAACAAUUAACCAAUAAUAUAUUGUUCAUUUUCAGCAACUUACUUCGUCUCAAUGCCGAGUGGUGGAGAAUCAGUUCCAUCCCAAACAAAGGCCAUCCACUCAUGCUCACAAAUCUCACAUAUAUGAAGCACCUUCAAAUGGUGAAACAUUUAGAGUUGCAGACUUAUCAGUACUUUGGGGGUAACAAUAUAGCAGAGUACCAUUUUGCUGUUAACAUCUUCAAGGAUGAUGGCAAUAAUUGAAACUCUGAUGGUAACAGGGAUAUGAUGAUAUGGUUGACUCACCUUGCAAACCAAAUUAGCUCUUUCCCCUUCCUUUAUCUCUCUGAGGAACAAGAAGCUAUUUGGACCUGCCAAAGACAUGUAACAUCAGCUUUGUAACUGGAUACAGGUACACUAUCAAAUAUAGCAGGCACAAUAAAGCUAGCAGUACUGUAAUUGGCGCAGAUCAAAUAAUGAUCAAGAGCACAUCAGGUUAUGUAUCUAUACGGCAUUAAAAUAACAAAAAAAGAGAUAUUUCUUACCAGCUAAAGCAAUGUACAGAUGUAAUAUCUGAAUAUUCCUUUUCAAUUAUUUAUUGCAACAAGCAAAAAUGUAUCUGCUAUUACAAUGACAAAAAUUCAGUGUUCCACUUCAAAUCAAGCACAUUGAACUGCAGCAUCACCUUAUAAAAAAUUUUAUUUCUGCAAGAAGAAAUGCAGCUCAAGUUUCUCAACAAAAAAAAGCAGCUUAGUUCACACACACACACACGGGGUUAAUUGAACCUAUAGAAAUAAAUGUAUAAAUUUUGAAGGACAUCCUUAUGUAUCAUGUGUAUAAUACAUGAUAAACAACUAGUAUCCAAAACAUAUGUGCCUUUUACAGUUUGAAAGUCACCCUAGACCCUAGCUCACUUACUUUGCACUAAGAAAGUAAAUUGGUUUCCAUUUUAUAGUUGCAAUAGUAAUAAUAAACACAUAUACAUACACACACACUGACAGUGCAACUGAAAAGGUUAAUUUCACUUCAAUUAAGAAGACCAUGGAUUAGCUUUAUGAGAACUCCAUUUUUUUUAAUUGAUUUAAUCUAUUUGAAUAAAAGAGAAAUUUAUACAAAACGGGUACAUUACUAUGGUUGCUCACAACCAUAGACAGCCCAGCAAAAUUCAAUCAACAGUGAUUUAACUAGUCACAAACUAGUAAAAAGUAAGCUGUGUAAAUAUCUAGUGGUUCCUCCUUUUCACAAAUUCCUAAAAUACUAAAAAAGGAGCUCCAGAAAUGAAAAUUGUUCUGUUAGAGUUAUAGACACAAAUGAACAUUCAGUCGUCAUCUUACCUUCAUCAACCUGGAAGUCAGCUAACCAUUUUCUCAAGCCUAAUACAAACUUCGAGUCCCGGUCUCUAUGGUGAUAUCUUGUAGAACAUUGAUAAGGAACGAAGUCUCCACCAUUUUUUCCUUCAUAUAAAGCAAAAGAAGAGAAUGCUUUGUUGAAAACAGCAUUUACUUCCCCAUGAUGAGUCUUCAUCUGCACAAAAACCAUGUAUACCCCAGUUUUUCACUUAAAAAUCAUUAAGAAAAUUAUAAGAUGCAAUAAGCAUAGACAACGCUUUGUACCCAAAAUGCAAUUAAAAAACUGAAAACAAGAGUAAAUGUCAAACACAGAAUCUCUCAACUAUCUACUUCAGCAACACGUUGUUCUUUUUUUUUCUGAAAAAUUUAAAACAAAAUCCUACAAUGCCAAUAAGCACAAAACUGAUCAAGCAUGCAUUACGAACUAAUAAUUCCAAGGUAAUGAACACAAAUAAGCUUAUACCACGACACGAGAAAGCUGAAUUAUAUCUCCAAGCGAAGAAAUACGAGGAAGAUUUUCCAUACUUGAUGCGAAUAUAUUAACUGAUAUUCCCGGUUUGGGAUAUGACUCAUCGAUUAUUUUCAGCGUACAGAACCAAUCUGAAAAAUUAAAAACGAAAAAUUGAUUGAACAAAUAAUUUCAAAAAUUAGAAAAGAAAGCUGGCUCAGACAUCACACCUUUACCCAGAUGAUUCAUCAAUCUACUACCAAAACCCAGUUAAAAGAAGUUAAAAGAGGUAGCAGCCGUAAGACCGGCCUUUUUGUCAUCAUCGCCAGCAAAAAAUAACGAUUUGUUUAGCAGUUGCGUUUAUAUGGGCUGAAAGAAGGAAUGAAAAUAAGAGGACGCGGAGUGUUAGUACCAGUGCCUCUGGUUUUCUUGGGUAAACCGAAUUCGAUAAUGGCGCCGAUGAGAUUAACUUUCUGGUUAAUGGAAGCGAUUGCAUCUCUUAUUUGAAGAAACUUGUAAUCGUCCCUCUCCCCCAUCUCUCUACCCCUCUCUCUCCGCCUAAACCCUAAGUUAGGGUUUCACUCAAACCCAAUUGAUCCGUUUUUAUUAGACCGCGAAUGCAAAGGUUGUCUUAUCUAUACCCUCUUUGAAAUAAUUUUUUUAAAAAAAUAAACAAAAAAGUUCAGUUAAGCUUAAUUGAUUUUUAUUUAAUUACAAUUAAAUUAAUUUUAUUUAAUCUAUGAGGAAAAAAGGGCUUAAUUGAAUUUUUUUAAUUUAUAAUAUAAUUUAUAAAAUAUAAUAAAAUUUACGAUUUAAAAUCCCUAAAUUUUCAUUUUAUUAAUAAAAUAAUCGUUUUAAAAUUCACUAUUAAAUUAUAAUAAUUUAACCUUUUAUUUUUGAACUUUAUCAUAAUUUAUUCUUUUUAAUUUUAAGAAUGUAUAAUAAUUUUAUUCUUAUAAUUUUAAUAUUUGUAACACUUAUUUUUUUAAUUAAUUGCUUUAAUUUAUAAUUUACUAAUAAUAAAUUUAAUAAAAAUACUAUUUUUAUUAACAAAAUAAAAAUUCAAAAACUAAAUUAUUUAUUAUUAAAAAAAAUUAAAAACUAAACUAUGAAUUUUAUUAAAUCUCAAAUACUAUAUUAUAAAUUAUUCAAAUUUUAAUUAAAUUUUUACACAAUUAUAUACUAUUUUCAUUUUAAAAAUAAUUUAUAAUUAAAAAAAACUCUUAUUUCAGAUAUGAUAAUUGAUUUUUUUUAAAAAAAAUGCUUCGAUUGAAUUUUAUAAAAAUUUAAUUCCUAAAUAGGACUGAAUGAAAUUUAAGCAAGGAUAUAAUAUGGGCGAGUGAUAAUUGAGAAUCAAAAUUACAAAGUGGGAGUAAGACGAGGGAAAGAGAGGAGUUUGUUUCUUAACAGGGGCAUGGUACUAAUAAUUUCCAACAGGAACUGGAGAGCAUUUCAAAUAAGUUUACAUCCUUUUUUUUCCCACAACAUAUAAAACUACAAAUGUUUUUUAAAGAAAAGAAUAAGUAUAAACUACAAUUCCAAACAAGCUAUACAUCAUACUGUGACGGUCCUUGAUCAUCUCCAAAAUUGACAGAACACUGCUCAGUUUCCCAACUAACGAGGGCUCCUCCAAAUCCGCUCUUCAUACUUUGACUCUGUUGUUGCUUCUUUUGGACGUUCAUGAUUGCACUUUCUGCAGGAGACAUUCCUACUGUAAUUCAAGAAAUCACACCUACAUAACAAAUACAAAAACCGUUUGUUAAGAAUCUUUUCACUGUAUCUUUUGAAGUUAACCACAACAGAGAAAUGGAUAGAAAGGGACUCACGCUGGGCAUUCCCAAUCUCCAGGAAUCAGCUGUCUCUUAGGCCGUUGUUCUCGACAGCGCAAACACAUCUUAUUGUUUGCAAAGUUCAUGAAUCCGCAUCUGCACAUGAAAGUCAAGGAGAUAAUUUCACAAAUUACCAAUAUGAUGAGAAAAAUAUUCAUGUCAUAUUGCAGCCAGUCAGCUAUAACUUACAAUAAUAAUAAUAAUAAUAGCACGAGAAAUAUCUUUGCUUAAACUAGCUGUUACUGUCAACCAGGCAUAGCCUGAAAGAUGCCGGCUGUUAUGCCACUUAAAUUUCAAGACGCCAUUCUUAGAACAAAUUUCCAAGCCAAUUUAUCAAUAUAAAUUUCCUAUAAGUUAUUAAUGAAGCCUCACAAUCAGGAUUGCCAAAACACACAGGAACCCACAUCAUAAGUGCCUAAAAGACAGGUUGUUGGACAAAAUAUACCAAACUUUACAUUCUACGAUAGUCACAAGACAAUUUUCAAUUACAGUAUUGUGCUUAGCAGGACCAGGUAACUUACUCUGGGCAAUUCCAAUCUCCUGGCUUCAUUUGUGCUUCAUUUACAGCAACUCUCUUUGGACCCUCUGUUUUGCACUUUAGGCAUCUUAUAUUUCUAGAGAAAUUCAUGAAAUCACACCUGCAUGCAGAUCACGGGCUCUGGUCAGUAGAUUGUAAGAAAAAUGUAUAAAGCUAGAGAUGCAAGUGUCUAAUAAUACUACAGGUAUGAGAAUCUAGUUCAUCAUCUCACAAAAAUCAUACCACCAUAUAUAUGGAUCAUAUUGUUAUAGUAUUCGUAUUCUAAAACAGAAAGCAAAGCACUGUAAGGGAUAGCCAUACAAGAAGACUAGGAACUUACUUGGGGCAUAUCCAAUCUCCUUGCUUCAUUUCAGCGUCAACAUCAACUUUUUUGGGACCUUCUCCGUUACAUUUUAGGCAUCGUAUAUUUUUAGAGAAGUUCAUAAAGUUGCAUCUUCAGAAAAAGUUCCAAGGAUGUCAAUCAUAAAAAUAAUAACAUAUAAAAGUGAAGUGAAUAUUAGAGAAAGUGGCUAGAGAGAUCAUUCUUUUAAGUUGCAAACAUGGGAUGGAAAGAUGUCAAAUCCCAGAUCAGUUAGACAAUUUGACCACUGGGCUAACAAAAUAGAAACCUCUUCCCCAUUUAAAAGACAAAUGGUGCAAGCUAAGUGAUGCAGUCAAGGAAAACUUCAUUUAGAAAUUAUUUUCAUGUAAUUCUUAUUUGUAAAAUUUAGAUCUUUCAUACAGACUCUAUAAUAGAAUGAGGAAGUUUAUGUUUCUACUGUUAGACAAUUUAAUUGCAAGUAAUAUUUUAAUUUUUCAGGGAUUUUAUGGUUAAAAUUUUUUGCUUAGUGUUAGUUUCAUUUUUCUAGUUAGAUUAGAUUAGUAUUUUCUUACUUUGGGAUUCUUAAUCCUAGUAGUAGUAGGACUAAUAUCAUACUAUAAAUACUUAUGUCAUCUAUGUAUUCUAUAAAGAUCUUACUAUUAUUGAUAUUGACAAUUGAGAAUUAAUUUGAAAAAAAAAAAAAAGGAACUGAGAUUUGUCUCCCUUCCCUCUUGAGUGUUCUUUGUUUCCAACAUCACUAAGGCCAAAUGCAGAAAAUAUCUAAAGGAUAAUCAAGGAACAUCCAACAGCCCAAUCAUAGAUAUCCAGCCCUCAAUAAUGACAUCAUGUGGGAAGUGAGAACAAUAAUGACAAAACAUCCAAGUCAGGACUUCAGGCACCAAGCCCUUGUCUUGGAGCUUUAUGAUACCAAAUCUUGCAUCAGUUGUGGCCUCAACUUACAAGCUGAAACAUCCCAUCUGCCCUUUUAAAAGAACAUAUUUACAGUCCAAGGUGCAAAGAUACUGCAAAGUACUAGCAGAGAUGGCAAUUUUACUAGUCUAGUACCAACUUCUUUCUUUUUUAGGAAUGGCUUUUUUUGGGGGUUGGGUGGGGGGGGAGGAGCGGGGCAGAGUAUUCCCAUUUUAAUUUUUACAAUUUAUAAAUUAUUAAAAUAUCGUUAUCAUAUAUUGUUGUAAUAUGCAUCAUAAAUAGAUUUUAAACAGUCUUGUUAACAGUUAAUAGCAAAUGGUAUUAGCCUAGGCCAUGGCAGGUUAUAGUUCCGGUUGGCUUGAUACUAUUUCAUUUCAAAAUAGUUACGAUUUGAAAUGGCUUCGUUUCAGUUCCAAUUUCGGUUUGGCGCAAUAUCAAAGUUUUUAAAGCUACAAGAAAUUAAUAUUCUAUAAAUUAUAAUACAUAAAAAAAUAUAAAAUAUAGGUUUAUAUUACAUUAUGUAUUUAGUUUAUAUAGUAAAAAGAAUUAAAGGAACCAAUACAACUUGAAAAAAAAAACAAGGGGAAAAAAAUUGAAAUGGACUAGUUCCAAUUUGGAACCAGCUGGUUCAGUCCUGGUUCAAGAAGGGGAGGCUAGUAAGGUACCCCAAUAACAGUCCCAACCUAGUUCACGGUUUGAAUUCGAUUGUGACCAAUUUAAAUGGUAUAUUCAAAGUAAAUGUUUCCAUAUUUACUUAUUUAUACAUACAUGCAUGUGUAUGCAUAGAAACACUUAUUUUAAAUAAACCAUUUAGACCUGGUCUCAAUCCAGUUACACACACACACACAUGCAAAAAAAAAAAUGGAUAAAUUAGGAUUAGUCAUGCUAGAUUGACCUAAAUCCAACCUCUCCAUGAAAUUGUCAAGUGUCAGGAUGUGAUACGUGUUCUUGUAGAUGCAAUAUAAAAUUUCCACAUGUACAAUUUUAGUCAUAUGAUAAGACUUACCCUUACAGCUGCCAUCCAAGACUUUGCCUUGUCCUACCUUUAGUGACUAUUAGUCCAUGCUCUACUAUAGAGCUGGACUGGCACAGCCCAUAACUAAAAUUGAUCAAGGGCAUUUCAAUCAAAAUUGAUUUUGAACUGCCGGAUCCAGUUGGUUCAGUUAUGUUCCAGGUUCAAAAACAAUUUUUCUUUGAAAUUUUUAAAGAAUAAUAACUAUAGGAUUUGAUCAAAACUGGAAGUGAUAGGAUCAUACAAUCCAGUUUCAGCCCCUCAAAUCUUGAAACAAUUGACCUUUUAUAUCAAACUAAGGCUCAAUCACAAGAAGUAAGCCUGUUUGACAUUAAGAUUCAAUAUCUAUAAACAGCUUUUCAGGAAAAAAAACAACACUAUAAUAUAUUGAAAAAAAAUAUAUUUUUUAUUUUAGUAUUCUAAUAAUCAAACAUGUUAAAUUUAAUUUUAAAUGUCAAUUUAAGAAAAUAUUUCUUAACAACAGCUCUAACAAUAAUGUAAAAAAUAGAUCCAUAGUUUUAAUGGUUAAUUCUUAAUACACAUGUCAUCAGCUCAUAAACAGAACAUUUAAAUAAAGGCAAUCAGUACAGAAUGCUCAACAAUAACUAAAUGAGCCUGCCAAGGAGCUCAAAAGAAUUAAAAAGAAAUAAAAAUAAAAAGUUGAUGAAGAAAAACAAAGACCUGAAUUUUUGACUUGUUGGCAAUCCAACCAUGGUUUUAAAUCAUGGUCGCGGCCACGUUCACGGUCGCAGGUAACGAAAACAAACCUGUAACGGCCGUAACGUAACGAUAACGGCCUGGCGAAAAAAUUUGCAAAGUUCAUAAAUAAAAUGAUAUUAAUUAAAUUUAAUUUAGAACAAUGUAUACAAAUGCAUAAUAAACAUAAAUAUAUAAAAUAUAGAUUAUUUAACUUAAGUUAAACAUCAUAUAGUUUAAAAUAAGAAAAAUCAACAUAAUCUUUAUAGAUCGAGUCAACUAAUAACUCAAAGUACAAUUUUAACUCAAAACUAACACUUUGAUCCAUAAAAACUUACAAAAAAAAGGAAAAAAAACAACAAUUAAAAACUAAAAUAGAUAAAAUUUAACUAACUUUUUAGAAGAAAUAAGUUUGAAAAUAAAGUAGUUUAUAAUGGAUCUAAGUUUAUACGAGAAAUAUGCAGGGAAGAAAAAGGGAAGAGAAAACUUAAAAAAUAUAGUCUUUGAAGCUGCUGAAAAGUGUAGAAACUAAUGAAAAUAAGAAUAGGGAGCAAAAGAUAAAGGAUAUAAAAGAAUUUUAAUUAUUGGUAAAAGCCAUUACCGUUAUGUAACGAUCGAUAACGGCCGUUACCGUUAUGUAACGGUCGGUAUACGGCCAUUACGCCUGCCAAUCAGGAGGGGCCGUUGUAUAACGGGAUAACGGGUAACGGCCCCCCAAAACCCGUUACAUAACGGCCGUUAUGUUACGUAACGACCGUUAUUUAAAACCAUGAAUCCAACACUACAGCCUUUGUUUUUCCUCAACAACUAAAGCAUAAUGUCCGAGCAAUGUCUUCAUUCGUAAGACAUUGGAAAUAUUUGAUCAACUAUUCAUCGUUGGAGGAAUCCACUUAUUAUUGAUAAACUUGUAAGCAAUUAAAUGAACCCAACAUACUAGAAAUUGCAAGUAAUGAAUGCAAUGCUUUGCUAUCAGAUAUAUAAGCAGAACAAAUGAGUAAUACAGAAUUGUAAUUAAAAGAAAGUUGCAGUUCAUUUGCAAUUCUUCAUUAUUGGGCUUACAUGGAAUGAAACUGGAAAUAAAGAAGUAUGUUGCAAAUAAAGAAAGUUCUCUUAAGUUCCAAAAUGCACAAAGCUUCAGAGAUGUACUGACAGUGAUGAUGAGAAACCCAAUCAAACUUAGAAUGAAUUAGGAGAAACACAAUCUAACGCACCCAUCAAGAUUCCAUACAUGCAUGUGGGAUGACUACCUUAAACUAGGUAGCUAGAGAGAUGGUACAACUAACCUUUGUGCUAAGUGAUAAAAUAACACAAACAUAGGAUGAGCUCAUGUGCUAAAAACUAAUAACACAAAAUGUCUAUAAUAAAGCUUGAUGAGCAGAGUAUGAGAGCACAUGAAAGUUGGAUAAAUCAUAGGUAAGGUAAGCAGAAAACUCUGACUGUGAACUGUGAACAAAGAAAGAGUUAAAUGAGUUCCACAUCUCAAUGGUUUCCCUUUAACAAAGCUCUUAAUGGACGUCCUCAGUGCAUAAGGAGCCAGAGUUCUGAGGAUCAAGGGAGAAUCAUCUACCAUAUGCAGACUUCCCCAGGUUUCUUUGCAAAGAGGCUGUUUCUGCAGCUCAAACGAGUGACAGCCUAGUUAAGGAACAUUCUCACUAUUCCGCCGAUGCUCAUCCUCGCACAAAAGCUCUUAAAUGAACUUAUCUUAAUUUUAUCUAUUAAUAUUUUCUUGAUAUUACAGUAAUACUCAUCUUCUUGAAAAUUUAGCAUUUUUCUGUUUCUACACGGGACAUUCCAAUAUGAGUCUUUUAGUCUUUUGUAUGCAAUGGAAAAUACUUAUUCAUCCAAAGAAAUGCAGAAACGAAACAUGAACCAGUUACGGAGUAUAUUCCAUUGUCUUCUAAUAAUACUUACUUGGCACAGCUCCAAUCUCCCCUCUUCAUUUCAACAUCGCGAGACAGUUUUUCAUCUAAUAUUGCAUCAGAUAAAGGAGGCUCCUUGUUAUCCCUAAAUCUCCUCUCUUGUUUCUUCUGAUGGGCAGCUUUUGGAGCAGGCAUCAGUACUGGUGGAUCAGGGGUUUUUUCACUUAAUUCAAUCAACUCAGAGAGCAGCUUUCUUACAGCUGCUUCAACAACUUCUCUACCAGGAGGCUUUUCCUCCCCUGAAAUAACGAGUGGAUCUAGUGCAUAGAACAUUAGAAUUCGCAUUAUAUCCGCAGUUCGAGCAUUUCCUUCAUCAUCCUUCAGUAUCACAUAAGCCCUGUCACAAGAUCCACGCAGAUCGCAGGCCCCACAAACCUGAACACCAGUGUGUAGUCAAACCACAAUCCUCGAGGAUAAAAGUCAUUUCUCAAACUCAAAGGAGAACCGACCAAAAAGAGAAACAUGCAACCCCCUUGGUUAAUGGGUAAAUUACACAAAAGACUUCAAGGUUUACCUAUAAUAACAAGCAAAGACAAAUAGACAACAUUUCCAAUUCCAGCACCACAAUUUAUAGAAAAUUAUUAAAUUGACCAAAUUGCUGUCAACUCUUGUGGAGAUUCAAAGGAUUAUUAAUAAAUUACUAUUUAGUCCCUAAAGUUUAACAAAAUUAAUCAAUUAUUCCUUAUUGUAAAACCGAAUUAAUUGAUCCUUAAUAUUUCAUUUCAUUAACACUUUUUUCCUUCUUUCUGUUCAAGUUUCUGAUAGUCAAUGACUAGAAAAAGCAAUCAAAAGGCCAAAAAUAUAUCAAAUUCUAGAAAUAUUAUACAUUAACAAAAAUUCUUUAAAAAAACAUUUUUUAAAUAAUUCAUUUUCCACACUCAUUUAUUUCCAAGAAAAGAAAUGUUUUAUCAAGGAAAAUAAAUUUUCCAAUUAGAAAAUUCAGAAAAAAAUAUAUAAUUCAAAGAAAAAAUUUUUCAAAAAAAUAAUAUUUUGAGAAUUAAAAUUUUUCUAGGAAGUUUCUAAAAGGAACCUUUAUCAUUUAAAAAGUUUUUCACAAUGGAGCAUGCUUACUUGGAAGGCAGUGUAAAUUUGUCAAAUAAAAUAUAUCUUACAACAGAAAUCUUCCUUUUCAUUUUUCAGAAAAAAAAAUAUGUUUCGUUAACUUGACAAUUCUUUUAGACCCUUGACUGCAGUAAGUAAUGGAAAAAUGUAAAUAAACUCAACAGAGGGACUAAACUGUAAAAUGAUAAGGGCCAACACAUUUGAUUUUAGAAAUGCAGGAACCAAGUCAUUAAUUUAGUCAAACCACAUGAACUAAAUUAUAACUUACCCAAUGAUCAAACAGCUUGAACCUAUUUACAGUUGUCCAAGUAUUUGAUAGUAUAUUAAAAAAUUAACAGAAAACAUUUCCCUCUCUAUUACAGUUUCUAAGCAAUCAUUAAGAUCAAUCAUAAAUAUGGAAUUGGAUAUUAUGAGUUUUAAUUACUGGUAGCUCAAGAACUAAAAUGGAACUAGCAUUACUUGUCCGGGUGCCAAAACUGCCUUUUCUCCUAAUGCAGUAGUCAAGUUAACCUCACAUGUGANNNNNNNNNNNNNNNNNNNNNNNNNNNNNNNNNNNNNNNNNNNNNNNNNNNNNNNNNNNNNNNNNNNNNNNNNNNNNNNNNAACCUCUCCUUCAUCCAAUGCCAUGUAGGCCCUCAACCUUUUCGCAGAAUUCACUACUUUUCUAAAAAGAUUGGGACAUCCACCCUCCAGAACUGUUUGAAUCUCCCCCACAGACAAUGACCUGCAUGGAAAAUAGUUACGCAAUGCUACAUCGAAACCCAAUAAAAUCAAAUUAACAACAGCAAAAAUGACCAGAAAUGGAAUCUGGGGAUACUUUAAUAAAUCAUAUCUAUCCCGAGCAAAGCUAAGACAAGGGUCUUUCAAUUGAUUCAUGUCCUUGUAAAUACUCUCAGUAGCAUCAUCAUUUGUGACAUUGGGAGUGAAGUAACCCUUGGACUUUAGUCGGUCUACGAAGGAGACCCACUCAGGCCAGGGGUGGUGUUGUUGAAGGGAAUUUAAGGUUUCAGUGGUAUCAGAGCGGAGGGCAGCGGAGGAACAGAGCCGAUGGAAUUGGAGGGAUUUGGAUGGAAGAAGUGAAGGGAUUGGAAAGAGAACUGUGUGGGCGUUAGAGCGGAAGAGUAAACUGCGAGAGAAUAACAAUUUGGAAGCUGCCAUUUUGAUUCUUUAGUAGGAGGAAACAGUGAAGCUGCGCAAGGACGAGAGAGGUCUGCUGAGGAGCUCGAAGGCGGCAAAAGGAUUUCUGCAGGGUUUUAGCUAUUACACUGUUUGGAUAUUUCACGGUGGGCGGAAGGAAAAUAAGGAAAGGAAAAGUUUUUUUUUUUUUUUCUUCCUUUAUUUUCUCCUGUUCUCUCCUGGGUAAUUUUAAACCGAAUUUUAGUCGCUAAUUUAUUAUAAUCAUUAAAUUUUAAUUUAUUUUUUAAAAAAAUCAUUAAUAAUAUUUAAACACUCUUCUUAUACGGUCCAUUCAGCUAAAAUUCCAAUGAUUUUCAGAGGAGAGAAAACAUGACUAUAAAUAAUUUUAAAAAAAUUUAUCUUGUUAAUUAGCAUUGGUUUUCAAAAAAAAAAAACAAAAAUAUAAAAUAAAUUAUAAUUUAAUUCUUCUAAUUUAAUAAAAUAUCUACGUUAUUUUUUUAUAUUUUUAAAAUUUUAUAAUAUAAUUUUAAUAUUUAAAAAAAUUAUAAUUUAAUCUCUAAAAUUAAAUUUUUAAUUAAUUAAUAAUUUUAUAUUUUUUUAUUUUUAUUCAUUUGGGUUAAUAAACUGAAAUUAAUGAGAAAACCGAAUAUAUAUAUAUAUAUAAGCAACUUAAAAACCCUAACUCACUCUCUAAUAUUUUGUGCAGGCUCACCCCAUCCCUAUCCCUACCCACUCUCUCUCUUGUGAUCGACUCUCCCUUGUGAACGAUAGAAAGCUCACUCACACCAUCCAUCAGAUGCCUUCUUCUUCUUCCCUUAAAUGACAGACUUGGUGAACGACGUCACUGUGUCUUCCUGCAAAGAGACCUUCAGGUGAAUGUUGUGCUUCUUCUUUCCCUAAACGUGACCCUCAGGUAUCAACCAAUCAAAGAGAACGACAAACGAAUGAAAACUGAUGAAUGAAAUUGAACUAUCGUUGGAUAUUAGGCAUUUUGUUCUACAGUGAGAAAUGAUGUUUCUUUGUUUUAUGAUGUUUCUGUGUUUUCUGAAAUCUGGAGUAUGACAGAAUCUAUGUACGGAACCGCCAUAAUCGAUGUCAUUUGGUUUCAUCUAUUUUCAGUUCGGUUGCGGUGUUCAAGAUUUCUCUUUUUAAUUUUUCCAUUUUCCUAAUUCGAUUCGGGACCAAAGAAAAAAUCAUAUCAAAAAAUCAUUUAGUUCAGAACUAUCGAAUCAAAAUUUUGAUUGCUGUGGAUAUUUAAAAUCAAAG
Molecule: long non-coding RNA, 27273 nt
Filed under: Manihot esculenta (cassava)
Lineage: Eukaryota; Viridiplantae; Streptophyta; Magnoliopsida; Malpighiales; Euphorbiaceae
Description: long non-coding RNA (MESC_LNC003175)
Source: RNAcentral